CCUACGGGGGGCAGCAGUGAGGAAUAUUGGUCAAUGGGCGGGAGCCUGAACCAGCCAAGUCGCGUGAGGGAAGACGGUCCUACGGAUUGUAAACCUCUUUUGCCGGGGAGCAACGGGGUCCUUGCGAGGGCCCAAUGAGAGUACCCGGAGACAAAGCAUCGGCUAACUCCGUGCCAGCAGCCGCGGUAAUACGGAGGAUGCGAGCGUUAUCCGGAUUUAUUGGGUUUAAAGGGUGCGUAGGCGGGCUGUUAAGUCAGCGGUCAAAUGUCGGGGCUCAACCCCGGCCUGCCGUUGAAACUGGCGGUCUCGAGUGGGCGAGAAGUAGGCGGAAUGCGUGGUGUAGCGGUGAAAUGCAUAGAUAUCACGCAGAACUCCGAUUGCGAAGGCAGCAUACCGGCGCCCGACUGACGCUGAGGCACGAAAGCGUGGGUAUCGAACAGGAUUAGAUACCCCAGUAGUC
This 460-nucleotide ribosomal RNA is filed under the name uncultured bacterium. RNAcentral describes it as "partial 16S ribosomal RNA". It matches the Rfam family "Bacterial small subunit ribosomal RNA", at positions 338 to 795 of the family's 1533-position model. The record is from RNAcentral.